Long non-coding RNA from Carassius auratus (goldfish), 499 nucleotides. RefSeq lists it as uncharacterized. The transcript is spliced from 3 exons. Lineage: Eukaryota; Metazoa; Chordata; Actinopteri; Cypriniformes; Cyprinidae. The record is from RefSeq and is a predicted model, not a curated record.
AUGCGUUCCACCUUCACGCAGACCUGGACACUUCAGCAAGAUUCUUAGUCCGGGCCGCCACAUCUCUGCUGUUAACGACUUUGACACAAAAAGCGAGAGCGAACAGAGAAGCCAGAAUGAAGCCGAUGCGCUACUUCACGCCGACACAGUUCCACAGCGGCAGAGCCUGCAACAGAAUGCAGACCAAGAGCAGGAGUGCUACGAUAGUGGAGAGUAUUCGGAUAUCUUACCAUCCCUUCUGCAGCUGGCGCAGGAAGCAUCCACCCUCUCCUUCAGUAACACUACACUGCCUUUAGAGCUCUCUUUUGUCAUUUAAAACUCUAAUGCAUUUGAUAUUGUGCUGUGGUGGUUGAUAGUAUAAAAGUGGUAUCUGAAACUAAUUAAAGGCUGUUUAAUGAAAGGCUCAGUAUCAUAAUGCGGCAAUUUGAUAUGUCAAUUGUAAAUGUAAAUCAUGUACAUUUUCUGUAGUGAUUUUAUCCAUCAGUGAACUCGAACCUCU